Molecule: transfer RNA, 74 nt
Filed under: Opitutaceae bacterium
Lineage: Bacteria; Pseudomonadati; Verrucomicrobiota; Opitutia; Opitutales; Opitutaceae
Also listed under: 3 other names
Description: tRNA-Gln
Rfam family: tRNA
About the family: Transfer RNA (tRNA) molecules are approximately 80 nucleotides in length. Their secondary structure includes four short double-helical elements and three loops (D, anti-codon, and T loops). Further hydrogen bonds mediate the characteristic L-shaped molecular structure. tRNAs have two regions of fundamental functional importance: the anti-codon, which is responsible for specific mRNA codon recognition, and the 3' end, to which the tRNAs corresponding amino acid is attached (by aminoacyl-tRNA synthetases). tRNAs cope with the degeneracy of the genetic code in two manners: having more than one tRNA (with a specific anti-codon) for a particular amino acid; and 'wobble' base-pairing, i.e. permitting non-standard base-pairing at the 3rd anti-codon position.
Source: RNAcentral
AGCCUGGUGGUGUAACGGUAGCACAGCUGGUUUUGGUCCAGUCAGUCGGGGUUCGAAUCCCUGCCGGGCUGCCA